AUUGAACGCUGGCGGCAGGCUUAACACAUGCAAGUCGAGCGGGCGAGGUUGCUUCGGUAACUGAGCUAGCGGCGGACGGGUGAGUAAUGCUUAGGAAUCUGCCUAUUAGUGGGGGACAACAUUCCGAAAGGAAUGCUAAUACCGCAUACGCCCUACGGGGGAAAGCAGGGGAUCUUCGGACCUUGCGCUAAUAGAUGAGCCUAAGUCAGAUUAGCUAGUUGGUGGGGUAAAGGCCUACCAAGGCGACGAUCUGUAGCGGGUCUGAGAGGAUGAUCCGCCACACUGGGACUGAGACACGGCCCAGACUCCUACGGGAGGCAGCAGUGGGGAAUAUUGGACAAUGGGCGCAAGCCUGAUCCAGCCAUGCCGCGUGUGUGAAGAAGGCCUUUUGGCUGUAAAGCACUUUAAGCGAGGAGGAGGCUACUUGGAUUAAUACUCUAGGAUAGUGGACGUUACUCGCAGAAUAAGCACCGGCUAACUCUGUGCCAGCAGCCGCGGUAAUACAGAGGGUGCGAGCGUUAAUCGGAUUUACUGGGCGUAAAGCGUGCGUAGGCGGCUUCUUAAGUCGGAUGUGAAAUCCCUGAGCUUAACUUAGGAAUUGCAUUCGAUACUGGGAAGCUAGAGUAUGGAAGAGGAUGGUAGAAUUCCAGGUGUAGCGGUGAAAUGCGUAGAGAUCUGGAGGAAUACCGAUGGCGAAGGCAGCCAUCUGGCCUAAUACUGACGCUGAGGUACGAAAGCAUGGGGAGCAAACA
Molecule: ribosomal RNA, 752 nt
Filed under: uncultured Acinetobacter sp.
Lineage: Bacteria; Pseudomonadati; Pseudomonadota; Gammaproteobacteria; Moraxellales; Moraxellaceae
Description: bacterial SSU rRNA
Rfam family: Bacterial small subunit ribosomal RNA
Source: RNAcentral